RNAcentral lists this transfer RNA (71 nucleotides) under Planctomycetia bacterium. RNAcentral describes it as "tRNA-Gln". It matches the Rfam family "tRNA". From Rfam's summary of the family: Transfer RNA (tRNA) molecules are approximately 80 nucleotides in length. Their secondary structure includes four short double-helical elements and three loops (D, anti-codon, and T loops). RNAcentral also lists the same sequence under 1 other name. Lineage: Bacteria; Pseudomonadati; Planctomycetota; Planctomycetia. The record is from RNAcentral.
ACCCCGAUGGUGUAAUGGUAGCACAAGGGAUUUUGGUUCCCUUUGCAGAGGUUCGAGUCCUCUUCGGGGUG